RNAcentral lists this long non-coding RNA (234 nucleotides) under Hordeum vulgare. RNAcentral describes it as "long non-coding RNA (HVUL_LNC010406)". Lineage: Eukaryota; Viridiplantae; Streptophyta; Magnoliopsida; Poales; Poaceae. The record is from RNAcentral.
ACCCACAUCCAUCUUCUUCCUCUGCACGAACAGGUUCUCAACUCCCGCACGUAUGCGUACAAAGGCCGACCUCGUUUAAAAUCCUUUUCAAAUCCUAUCCCGAGUCAACCCCUGACUCAAGUUUCUUGUCCUAUAAAUACCUACAACUCUCCUCGACCGAUUCUCCUAAAAAUCCCACGCUAAAACCACCUAUACGUCGCGAGCUCGUUAUUUGGAUCUCGCCGCAAAAGCUAC